UACAGAGGUCCCAAGCGUUGUUCGGAUUCACUGGGCGUAAAGGGUGCGUAGGUGGUCGGGUAAGUCUGAUGUGAAAGCUCUGGGCUCAACCCAGAAAUGGCAUUGGAUACUAUCUGGCUAGAGGAAUGGAGGGGGGACUGGAAUACCUGGUGUAGCAGUGAAAUGCGUAGAUAUCAAGUGGAACACCAGUGGCGAAGGCGAGUCCCUGGACAUUUCCUGACACUGAGGCACGAAAGCUAGGGGAGCAAACAGG
Molecule: ribosomal RNA, 253 nt
Filed under: uncultured bacterium
Lineage: Bacteria
Description: partial 16S ribosomal RNA
Rfam family: Bacterial small subunit ribosomal RNA
Source: RNAcentral